ACCUGACCGGCCGUCUUCCAGAGGCUCGACGACUUCCACCGUGCCCCGCCCCGGCGAACCACCUUCCUCCCCGCCUUCUCGAGCUAGCAUCGGAUCCAUCGAUCCCGGUAGGGAGCCGUCCUUGAUCUACCUGCCAGAUCCUGCCUCUGCUCAUCUCCCCCGUGCCAGAUGCAGCUCGGUUUGGUGGGCACCACUGUCCUCCCAUGGACGUGUGUGCAGUGCAGUCCGGCGGCGGGGGUAGCCAUCUCCUCUCACGCUUCCAGCAGCAUCAGGAGGAGGAUUGUGGUGAAAUGUUCUCCCAGUGCAGCUUGCUAUCGUUGCAGGUCAGUUGGGCAUCGGUGCAGUACGCAAUCACUUGAGAGGACGAUUGGCACGCACUUCGGUUUCAGCCGUGCGACACUGCAGUAUGGACGUGCGCGGCAGGAGGUUCGUUGCUGCAGUUUACUUGGUGUUGGCAGGAGGUUCUCCAGCUGGCCGAUGUAGUUUACCUGGUAUAGUUCGGCCGGCUGAUGGUUGCGGUUAAAAGGAAAAUUGUGUGGAGUCCACUUUCUUUGGGAUGAAAAAAAUAAGUGCAAAUGUGGUUUACUAAUUAUUUUCUCAGGGUUCACUUAA
Triticum dicoccoides is the source of this 612-nucleotide long non-coding RNA. RefSeq lists it as uncharacterized. The record is from RefSeq and is a predicted model, not a curated record. NCBI's taxonomy places the organism in Eukaryota, Viridiplantae, Streptophyta, Magnoliopsida, Poales, Poaceae. The transcript has 2 exons.